ACAGAGCAGCUUGAAAAACACGCCAUCUUCUACUCUACCUGGCCGAGAGUCGACCCUCUCUCCACACACUGUGUCCCCUCUCAACAUCCUUUAAAACUCCUUACAAGGCUCAGCCCGACAGAAACUUGUGGCCGACAUCUCUCUUGAUGUCUGGCCCCUCUCCUCCCUUAGAGAGUGAAUAAACUCUGUCCUGCUUAUCUGGACAUGCUUUGUGCAAUUCCCUAACAGCUUUGGUGGCCCGUAAGAAGACUGGCCAUUACCUACUGACCGGAAUCCAUCUCAACCAGAUCGCCUUCUCAACUUAUCUCAGAGAGAAAACUGCAGUGCUGCAAAUACAACUGAUUCAGCAUUACAGUAUCUACCAAGUGCAAGCAAUCCCACUCUACGAGAGCACUACAAGCCUUCCAGAACUCAAACUUGUAAGGUAAAGAAACUGAAGCUCUGUCAUUCAUCUAAAGUUUCACCUAGGACCAGCUAAAGGUAAGGAAACCAAGCCAGGCAUCUUCCCUUCCAAUAGGCCUUCCUCCACAACCCUCAGCAGAUGGGUGACCUCAAAAGACAUGCUUACCUCAACACUGAGACUCACUAAGUAACUGGAUCAAGGGAUGGAAAGAGACCCAUGGCCACCUAACAGCUCUCAAACAUGCUGUGGCCCUGAUAGCUUGAGUUGGGAAUGGCCACCAUAAUCCCUCACCCCUAGAUGCUAUGAGGAGCCCACACGGAAUCCUGCCUAAGGCAGAAGGCAGAACAGAAACCAGCUGUGGUCACUGGACAGGAGUGGGGAAGAAAAGGUUAGUGGGGGCAGGGAACCAAGAGGCUGGAGGAGCAGGCUGCCCAUCCACAGGAGGUGGUGAGAGACAGGACCGUGCAAAAGUGGAGAUUCCAAACCCCCAAUGUGUGCUCCAUUGUCUCAUUGGACUUCUAAAAUACAAACUCAAAGAUAAAGUUGGGGUUUUUUUUAAUUUUUUAUUUUUUUUGAGAAAGAGAGAGAAAGAGAGAACGAGUGGGGGAGGGGCAGAGAAAGAAGGGGAAAGAGGAUCAGAAGCGGGCUCUGCGCUGACAACCGAUAUGGGGCUUGAAUUCACGAACCAUGAGAUCAUGACCUGAGCCGAAGUCAGACUCUUAACUGACUGAGCCACCCAGAGGCCCCUCAAAGAUAAAACUAUAAAAACUAAGACAAUAACCCACGAGCAUUACACCUCAAAUGUGAAGCUCUUAUGAGUGCAGGGCCCUGUGCAACCACCCCGGCCUGUGAACCUCACCCUAGUUACACAGCUAGUAACCAUGUUAGUCUGACCAUGACUAACUCUUGAUUACUAAACAGCUCGCAGGAACUCCCUUGCCUGAUGGAUCCUCUCUUCAAAACUAAUAACAUUUUUGUCUAGUCUACCACAGCUACCAAAGCUGUUUUCUCUGCUUAUUAUCUCACGUAGUAAUAGUAAUAUAUAGGCAAUGGAAUUACAUAUGAUCUUUUUUCUGUAAUCCUUACUCUGCCCCCACUUUAAUAAUUAUAUACUUAAGUGUAGUUUAACACUUUCUUCUGGCCCAUGUAUUUCCUGCAAAUCAGCAGCAGGACUCAGAGACUUAAUCAUGCAAUAGACUUCUAACUGUAAUAUAUCAUCCCUGCCUCCAAUUUUAUACUCCAGGCUACUCCAGACUAACCAUAUUAACCUCCCUAAAAUACCACAUGGGAUGUCCAAGCCACAUGCUCCCCUCCAUCCACAUCCGUGUCCACGUCUGUCCACCUCCUCCCCCACACUCAUGCACACCAUCCAAAAUCUUCCAUGGCAACUUUUAACCUAUGUUAACAUCAACGUCCUCCACAGUCUGUGUUCAGACCAACCUCCUUGCCUUCUCCUUCCUCAUCCAGACCCACAGAAAGGUGGGUUAAAUAGUGCAAAGAGCUGGAGUCAUCUAGAGUUCAAGCCAUAAUCCCAGCUUCACAAUUCGAUUGGGAUAGAACUCUGACAAGUAGCUUUUCUUCUCUCUCCCUGAAUUUCUGUGUUUGUAAAAGUAGAAUGAUACCACCCUUAUAGAGCUGAUGUAAGGAUUGUUAAAUGAAUUUGUGUAAAGCACCUAGGAGACCCUCAGGAAAAGGGAACUGUUACUAUGAUUACAGCAGUCACAACAGUCACAAAAUUGCUGGUGGAAUUUUUCUUUUCAGCUUUUGCCUAUAUUUCUUUUCCAACUAAAACCUCUCUCUGGUUGUCUAAGUCUUACCUACUGUGGUAGGUAAAAUUCUAAGAUGUCUGCCUAGAUUUCCUAUCCCUGGUAUAAACCUCAGAACUGCAAAUGUAAUGGACUUUAUCUACACAUGGUGAUGUUAUAUAGCACAGUUGACCUUAAAAUAAGGAGAUUAUCCAGGCAAGUCUGGCCUAAUCACAUCAGUCCUUUUUUUCUAAGUUUAUUUAUUUAUUUUGAGAGAGAGAGAGAACACGAGAAGUGGAGGGGCUGAGAGAGAGGGAAAGAGAGAGAAUGCCAAGCAGGUUCUGCUCUGUCAGUGCAGAGCCCGAUUUGGGGCUUGAUCCCACGAACCAUGAUCAUGAUCUGAGCUGAAAUCAAGAGUUGGACGCUUGGGGCGCCUGGGUGGCUCAGUCAGUUAAGCGUCCAACUUCAGCUCAGGUCAUGAUCUCUCGGUCCGUGAGUUCGAGCUCCGUGUCGGGCUCUGUGCUGACAGCUCAGAGCCUGGAGCCUGCUUCCGAUUCUGUGUCUCCCUCUCUCUCUGCUCCUCCCCCGUUCAUGCUCUGUCUCUCUCUGUCUCAAAAAUAAAUAAACAUUAAAAAAAAAAAAAGAGUUGGACGCUUAACCAACUGAUCCUCCCAGGUGCCCAUAUUAGCCUCUUUAAAGCAAAGAGUUUUCUUCAGCUGGUCAUGAGGUAGUUAAAGAUUAGAACCACAGGAAGGAUUUAACAAGCUGUCGAUAGAUUAAAGAUGCAGGAAGUCACAUGUCAAGGAAUGCAGGCUGCCUCUAGGAACUGCAAGUAGACCCUGGCUGACAACAGGGAAAUGUAAACCUCAUUCCCACAGCUACAAGGAACUAAAUUCUGACAGGUAGAAUGAUCUUGGGGGAGUGCCUGGGUGGCUCAGCUGGUUGAGCAUCCAAGUGUUGACUUCAGCUCAGGUCGUGAUCCCAGGCUCAUGGGAUUGAGCCCCUCCUCCACACCCAGUGUGGGGCCUGUUUAAGAUUAAGAUUCUCUCUCUCUCUCUCUCUCUCUCUCUGCCCCUGCCCUGUUCACGUGCUCAUGCUCUUUCUCUCUCUGGAGAAGGAGAAGGAGGAGGAGGAGGAGGAGGAGGAGGAGGAGGAGGAGGAGGAGGAGAAGAAGGAGAAGAAUGAUCUCGGAAACAGAUUUUCCCACAGAGCCCCCAGAUGAGAACUCAGUCCAUUGGAUACCUUGAUUUCAGAAUGUGAUAAUGAACACUGAACCCAGCCACACCAUGAAGGACAAACAUCUGACCUUUACAACUGUGAGAUGAACAUGAGUGUUGUGAGGUAACUUGUUACACAGCAAUAGAAUACUAAUGCACCUACCUUCAAGGUCUACUUCUUUUUUUUUUUUUUUUAAUGUUUAUUUUUGAGAGAGAGAGAGAGACAGAAUGUGAGCAGGGGAGGGGCUGAGAGAGAGGGAGACACAGAAUCUGAAGCAGGCUCCAGGCUCUGAACUGUCAGCACAGAGCCCAACACAGGGCUCGAACCCAUGAACUGUGAGAUCAUGACCUGAGCCAAAGUAGGACACUCAACCAACUGAGCCACCCAGGCGCCCCCAAGGUCUACUAGUCCUUUCUAUAUGACUUCCCACCACAAAACCCUGGCAUGAACUAUUUAUACAAACCCUUUUUCCUUCCUAAAACUUAUCACAAUUGCCCUUUUAUUACAUGACCACUUUACAUUUCUCUCCUAUUACAGAGACUGCUAAAUGUCCCCCAUACUUGUUCUGCUCUUUCUCCACAGUAAUAGAACCCCAGAUUUAUAGCUGGGCACUUAGCCACACUGUUCCAAUUUGACACAUGGCAAGUUACAAAGCUUUGGUUUUCUCAUCUCUAAAAUAGGGAUAGUAAUCUUUUGGACCUUUUUUAAUGGAAAGGGCUUAGCGCAAAGUCAGCACGAGGAAAACAUUAACAAAGAUCAAUUCACAGCCUACACUAGACUAAGAAACUAAGUCACAAAUAAUGUGGUGAAGACCAUGUUGUCAUGUACCAAGCAGGAAGAGAUCACGAUAAGGACCUAAGGAUAAAAAAGAGUUGAUGGGACAGUGAAAUCAAUGUAGCUGCAAAGGAAGAAUGUUUGGUUAGGAAGGCACCUAGAGGUGGCAGCAUGUUCUGGGACAUGAUUAAAUUAUAGUAGUCUACCCUUAUGCACAGGAGAGUACAUUCUAAGACCCUCAGUGGAUAUCUGAAACUGCAGAUGGUAUCGAACCCUAUAUACACUGGUUUUCUUCCUAUGAUAAAGUUUGAUUUAUAAAUUAAGCACAGUACGAGAUUAACAACAAUAACUAAUAAUAAAAGAGGACAAUUACAACAAUAUACUAUAAUAAAAGUUGGUGACUAUGGUCUUUCUCUCAAAAUAUCUUGCCAUGCGAUAUUCACCUUUCUUCUUGUGAUGCUCUAAGAUGAUAAAAUGCCUGCAUGAUGGGACAAAUGAGGUGAAGGACAUAGGCGCUGUGAUGAAGUGUAGGCUGCUAUUGCCCUUCUGAUGUCUGUCAGAAGGAAGAGCAGCUGCUUUGGGGCCACGGUGGACUGUAGGUCACUGAAAGCCCCCAAGUUGAAGCUUUGGAUGAGGGGGACUAGUGUCAUCAGACUAAAGUGAAUGUUCACAUGGCUCAAAGAUAAGAAUGAAAAGAUAAAUUUCCACAAGAUUAUAACCUGCAGAGGUUAAGGACUGUGUAACAUUUGCUCGUGGUUGCAGCUGGCUCAACAUCGCUCUGCCAUAUAAUUAGUCUGAAGGCCACUAAUGACAGGGUACAUUGUGAGAUAUGUAAAAAUUUAGCAUUUCUCGGUAAAAAAUAAUUGAGGAAGAGUUUUAUUUUUAAUGUUUAUUUAUUUAUCUUGAAAGAGAGGGUGGGGGAGAGGCAGAGACAGGGUGACAGAGAAUCAUAAGCAGGCUUCACACUGUCAGUGCAGAGCUGGACACGAGCCUUGAACUCACGAAUUGUGAGAUCAUGACCUGAGCCAAAAUCAAGACUCGGACGCUUAACUGAGCCAUCCUGGUGCCCCAGAGGAAGAGUUUUUGAUGAUGGCAAUUAUUUCACACAGUACCCCAUAGCAUGGGAAGCUUUAAAUUCUUCUAAGUCCGUAGCAGUUCUCCAGGUUACGUGAAAAACAGGAAGUACAGCUCUCUUUUAUUACACAGACUGGGAAAUUGAGACAUAGUAGCAACUGUCAGUAUGAAUACAAUAUGUGGAAAUUUUAAUCAGGGAGAGAGCUGGGUAUAAAAUCUAAGUCUUCUGUAUUUAGUUGUUUAGUUUAGUUUCUAUGCUCUCCUAAUUAGUUUUCGGACUGCUCUAUGUCAGUUAUGGGCCUGAGGAUUGGCUUAUACCUUCUCAAUACUCUCUAGUAUACUUCACGCCCACUUUGGUAAAUCUACAAUUUACACGCACACACUGCAUCCCCCAACUCACACAGAUGUACCUUCUCUGUUUAUACCAUCUCACCAACCUCUUCCCCACACUGUCCCCACAUCAGAACCACACAGUGGCUCAAUCAGUAGUUCUUCCUUUCUUCCCCAAAUGCUACAUGUACACCACACUCCUCCCUCCACCCCCACCCAAAACCACAACCACUUCCCCCAUCACUUUGAAAACAGCAGGGCUCUUCUCUUUUCUUCUUUGUUACCCUUAACUUUAUUGAGGUAUAAUUAACAAAACACACACACACACACACACACACACACACACACACACACAUAUGCUAUACAAUGUAGUGUUUUGAUAUAUAUUCAUACUGUGAAAUGAUUACUACAAUCAAGCUAUUUCACACAUUCACAUAGUUAACAUUUUUUCUUGUGAGAAUACUUAAAAUCUACCCUUUAUAAAUAUACAAUACAUUAUUAUUAACUAUAGUUAUCAUGCUGUAUGUUAGAUCUCUAAAACUUAUUCAUUUUAUAACUGGAAGUUUGUACCCUUGACAAACAUCUCCCCAUUUCUCCCACUACCCCCCACCCCCUGGUAAUCACGCUUCUUUCUUUUCUUUUUCUUUUUUUUUUUUUUACUUUUUUAAAAAAUUGGAGUACAAAUAUCUCUUCAAGAUGUAGAUUUCAUGUCUUUUGGAUUUAUAACCAGAAGUGGGAUUGCAUUAUCCAAAGAAGAUAUCUAAGCAGACAACAGGUAUAUGGAAAGGCACUCAACAUCACUAAUCAUCAGGGAAAUGCAAAUCAAAACCACGUUGAAAUAUCACUUCACAUCUGUUAGGAUGGUUAUUAUCAAAAAGCCAAAAAAUAGUAAGUGUUGGCAAGGAUGUGGAGAAAAGUGAAUCUUUAUUCCCUGUUGGAAAUGUAAAUUGGUACAGGCAUUAUGGAAAACAGGAGGGAGGCUCUUCAAAAAAUAAAAAAUAGAACUAUCUUAUCCUGAUCUUUUCCUUUAUUCACCAAUUUUUUAAAAAUUCAGUAUGGAUUUAAAUCAUUUGCAGCUUCACAUUUUUCCAGUGUUCUCACUUUUUUAUUGCACUUCAACCUUCUACUCUGUGAGAAAGCUACAAAGAAGGUUAUUAAAAAUUACGUAAAAUUUCAGCUCCCAGAGAUACCUACUAAUAACAUUUUAAUAUAUUACCUUUCAGGCUUUUCUCUGCCCAUAUAUAUUUUUAUGUGUGUGUUCAUUUUUUUCUCACACAAAUUUUUUACUGAGAUAAUUUACACACCAUAAAAUUUACCCUUUUAAAGUAUAGUGUUCAAUUUUUAUUCCUGCUAUUUUCACCUCAACAUUAUUAUAUCAAGAACAUGUGCUCAUGACAUUGAAUAUUCUCCAAAACUUUAUUUUUUAGAGUUUAUAGCCAUUUUAAAGUAUGCAAGAAUCAUAAUUUAUUUAAACAUCUUCUUAUUGGACAUUUAAGUUGUCUCCAACUUUUCAUUAUUGUAAAUAAUGCUUUGAAAAAUAGUCUUGUAUUUUUAUUUUUAUAGACAUAGAAUUAUUGUUUUAACACAUUUUUACUUAUGAGAGGGGCAAAUGCUACUGUUUGCCUACCCAAUAGACAUUCUCUCCUUCAUCCUUAGUUUGUAGAAUCUCAUAGUUUGGAGAGGUGUAUUAGUUAUCUAUUGCUGUCUAUAAACUACUCUGAAACAGGAGCACCUGGGUGGCUCAGUCAGUUAAGAGUCGGGCUUUGGCUCAAGUCAUGAUCUCAUGGCUCAUGAGUUCCAGUCCCAUGUUGGGCUCUGUGCUGACAGCUGAGAGCCUGAAGCCUAUUUCAGAUUCGGUGUCUCCCUCUCUCUCUGCCCCUCCCCCAGUCAUGCUCUGUCUUUCUCUCCUUCAAAAAGAAAUAAACAUUAUAAAUUACUCCAAAAUAAUCCUUUAUUCUCUCUCAUGUUUUCUAUGGCUCAGGAAUUUGGAAGUGGCUUGGCUGGGAAGUUCUAGCUUAGAGUCUCUCAUAAUGUUGCAGUCAGCUGGGGUCAUCUCCAAGCUCCUUCAGUCACAUGUUUGAUGCCUGGACUGGGAAGAUUAGAAAAACUGGGGUCUUACAUGGUAGAGCCUUUCAAAAAUCCCUUUCUAUUUCGAGGCACCUGGGUGGCUUAGUUGGUUAAGCAUAGGAUUCUUCAUUUUGGCUCAGGUCAUGAUCUCAUCAUGAGAUCAAGCCCCGCAUCAAGCUCUGUGCUGGGUGUAGAGCCUGCUUAAGAUUCUCUCUCUCUGCCUCCCUAGACCCAUC
Molecule: long non-coding RNA, 7847 nt
Organism: Neofelis nebulosa (Clouded leopard)
Lineage: Eukaryota; Metazoa; Chordata; Mammalia; Carnivora; Felidae
Exons: 3
Source: RefSeq, a predicted model, not a curated record